GGUGCUACAUUCUAAGCUCUAUCCAUGUGCAUCAUGCCCGCAGAACUUCAGCCACACACACAUAUUCUCCUCCUCGAUUCAAACUAAACGAGAACGUAUUCAAGGUCCAUACCUUAUUCACUCAGAUCCUCUCAUCUUCAAAUUCUUAUUUACUUCCCUUUUAUUCUAAUUUUCUCUUAAAUUUUGUUUAAAUUAAUUGUUUCGUAACCAUAAUCAUUUCCCUUAUAUUUUUAUUCAUUUUCUUCCGUUAUUUAU
This 255-nucleotide long non-coding RNA is filed under the name Carica papaya (papaya). Its description in RNAcentral is "long non-coding RNA (CPAP_LNC008019)". Lineage: Eukaryota; Viridiplantae; Streptophyta; Magnoliopsida; Brassicales; Caricaceae. The record is from RNAcentral.